RNAcentral lists this ribosomal RNA (490 nucleotides) under uncultured bacterium. RNAcentral's name for it is "partial 16S ribosomal RNA". It matches the Rfam family "Bacterial small subunit ribosomal RNA", at positions 28 to 523 of the family's 1533-position model. The record is from RNAcentral.
GACGAACGCUGGCGGCGUGCUUAACACAUGCAAGUCGAGCGGAAAGGCCCUUUCGGGGGUACUCGAGUGGCGAACGGGUGAGUAACACGUGAGUAAUCUGCCCUUGGCUUUGGGAUAACCACCGGAAACGGUGGCUAAUACCGGAUACGACCACUCCCGGCAUCGGGUGGUGGUGGAAAGUUUUUUCGGCCAGGGAUGUGCUCGCGGCCUAUCAGCUUGUUGGUGGGGUAAUGGCCUACCAAGGCUUCGACGGGUAGCCGGCCUGAGAGGGUGACCGGCCACACUGGGACUGAGACACGGCCCAGACUCCUACGGGAGGCAGCAGUGGGGAAUAUUAGACAAUGGGCGGAAGCCUGAUCCAGCAACGCCGCGUGAGGGAUGACGGCCUUCGGGUUGUAAACCUCUUUCAGUACCGACGAAGCGCCGAUGAUGGCGGUGACGGUAGGUACAGAAGAAGCACCGGCCAACUACGUGCCAGCCGCCGCGGUAA